UGUGUGACGUAAACACGCCUAAGUCAUGUUCUUAUACGGAAGCUGGUUACUACCCUAUAGCAACCAACUCCGACGCCUUGUAGUUAGGGAAAUGAGUGGCUUAAAAUUCACUGUUCAUUUAAAGAGUGAAUGAUUGUGAGGGAGGGAAAAUUCUCCAGAUGUGAAAUGAAUGAAGACUGGGGUCAGGUGUUGAAAUGAUGUGAUAUUUCUUGCAGUGUUGUUUCUACUACCAUAACGGAUCAGACACAUUCUACAUUUGUAAAGAGGAAAAGGUGGACAUGCUAGGGUACACAUGCUAGGGGUGCAUUUUUCCAGUGGUGGUGUCCCUGGCGGAGACUGGUGGUUAACACAGGAAAAGACAAGCAGACAGCCAAACAAGGGAGGAGUGGAUCCAAGUGGAUGUCGCCCAUAGAGCUCGAGUGUUUAACUCAUUGACGAUUGAUGAUGUCCUUUAUGAAGCUAACAUGAAGAUGCCUGCAGGU
Protopterus annectens (West African lungfish) is the source of this 482-nucleotide long non-coding RNA. RefSeq lists it as uncharacterized. The transcript has 3 exons. The record is from RefSeq and is a predicted model, not a curated record. NCBI's taxonomy places the organism in Eukaryota, Metazoa, Chordata, Ceratodontiformes, Protopteridae.